Molecule: ribosomal RNA, 489 nt
Filed under: uncultured bacterium
Lineage: Bacteria
Description: SSU rRNA
Rfam family: Bacterial small subunit ribosomal RNA
Source: RNAcentral
AGGACAAACGCUGGCGGCGUGCCUAAGACAUGCAAGUCGGACGGGAGGCUUCGGCCUCUAGUGGCGGACGGGUGAGGAACGCGUGGAGAACCUGCCCCGGGGUGGGGGAUACCCGCCAGAAAUGGCGGUUAAGACCGCAUACGAAUGCACCGUGCAGGCGGUGUAGGGAAAGCAGCGAUGUGCCCUGGGAGGGCUCCGCGUCGGAUUAGCUAGUUGGUGGGGUAACGGCCUACCAAGGCGACGAUCCGUAGCUGGUCUGAGAGGACGGCCAGCCACACUGGGACUGAGACACGGCCCAGACUCCUACGGGAGGCAGCAGUGGGGAAUCUUGCGCAAUGCGCGAAAGCGUGACGCAGCAACGCCGCGUGGGGGAAGAAGGCUUUCGGGUUGUAAACCCCUUUCAGUUGGGACGAAGCUUCGCCGGUGAUAGCCGGCCGGAGUGACGGUACCUUCACAAGAAGCACCGGCUAACUACGUGCCAGCAGCCGC